Molecule: ribosomal RNA, 230 nt
Filed under: uncultured bacterium
Lineage: Bacteria
Description: partial 16S ribosomal RNA
Rfam family: Bacterial small subunit ribosomal RNA
Source: RNAcentral
CGGACGGGUGAGUAAUGUCUGGGAAACUGCCUGAUGGAGGGGGAUAACUACUGGAAACGGUAGCUAAUACCGCAUAACGUCGCAAGACAAAGAGGGGGACCUUGGGCCUCUUGCCAUCGGAUGUGCCCAGAUGGGAUUAGCUAGUAGGUGGGGUAAAGGCUCACCUAGGCGACGAUCCCUAGCUGGUCUGAGAGGAUGACCAGCCACACUGGAACUGAGACACGGUCCAG